This 330-nucleotide ribosomal RNA is filed under the name uncultured bacterium. Its description in RNAcentral is "bacterial SSU rRNA". It matches the Rfam family "Bacterial small subunit ribosomal RNA", at positions 568 to 898 of the family's 1533-position model. The record is from RNAcentral.
CGCGUAGGCGGUGGUAUAAGUCUGAGGUGGAAUCCUACAGCUUAACUAUAGGACUGCCUUGGAAACUGUAUUACUUGAGUCGGACAGGGGAAGGCGGAAUUCCUGGUGUAGCGGUGAAAUGCGUAGAUAUCAGGAGGAAGGCCUGUGGUGAAGACGGCCUUCUGGGUCUUGACUGACGCUGAGGCGCGAAAGCGUGGGUAGCAAACAGGAUUAGCUACCCUGGUAGUCCACGCCCUAAACGGUGGGCACUAGGUGUGGGAUCUGUAAGGGUUCCGUGCCGAAGGGAAACCAUUAAGUGCCCCGCCUGGGAAGUACGGCCGCAAGGUUGAA